UAGGGAAUCUUCGGCAAUGGACGAAAGUCUGACCGAGCAACGCCGCGUGAGUGAAGAAGGUUUUCGGAUCGUAAAACUCUGUUGUUAGAGAAGAACAAGGACGUUAGUAACUGAACGUCCCCUGACGGUAUCUAACCAGAAAGCCACGGCUAACUACGUGCCAGCAGCCGCGGUAAUACGUAGGUGGCAAGCGUUGUCCGGAUUUAUUGGGCGUAAAGCGAGCGCAGGCGGUUUCUUAAGUCUGAUGUGAAAGCCCCCGGCUCAACCGGGGAGGGUCAUUGGAAACUGGGAGACUUGAGUGCAGAAGAGGAGAGUGGAAUUCCAUGUGUAGCGGUGAAAUGCUUAGAUAUAUGGAGGAACACCAGUGGCGAAGGCGGCUCUAUGGUCUGUAACUGACGCUGAGGCUCGAAAGCGUGGGGAGCAAACAGG
Molecule: ribosomal RNA, 429 nt
Filed under: Gemmatimonadota bacterium
Lineage: Bacteria; Pseudomonadati; Gemmatimonadota
Description: Gemmatimonadetes bacterium partial 16S ribosomal RNA
Rfam family: Bacterial small subunit ribosomal RNA
Source: RNAcentral